RNAcentral lists this ribosomal RNA (236 nucleotides) under uncultured bacterium. RNAcentral describes it as "partial 16S ribosomal RNA". It matches the Rfam family "Bacterial small subunit ribosomal RNA", at positions 15 to 248 of the family's 1533-position model. The record is from RNAcentral.
GAUCAUGGCUCAGAUUGAACGCUGGCGGCAGGCCUAACGCAUGCAAGUCGAACGGUAACAGAAAGCAGCUUGCUGCUUUGCUGACGAGUGGCGGACGGGUGAGUAAUGUCUGGGAAACUGCCUGAUGGAGGGGGAUAACUACUGGAAACGGUAGCUAAUACCGCAUAACGUCGCAAGACCAAAGAGGGGACCUUCGGGCCUCUUGCCAUCGGAUGUGCCCAGAUGGGAUUAGCUUG